Helianthus annuus (common sunflower) is the source of this 508-nucleotide long non-coding RNA. RefSeq lists it as uncharacterized. The record is from RefSeq and is a predicted model, not a curated record. NCBI's taxonomy places the organism in Eukaryota, Viridiplantae, Streptophyta, Magnoliopsida, Asterales, Asteraceae. The transcript is spliced from 3 exons.
ACCGAGUGAGCGGACCAGAGAUUGGGUAAGAGAGAGAAGAAGAAAGAGAGGGACAAUCAAAGGCAGUUUAGGUAUUUGAUCCCCAGGUCCACAUUGUUUCUUCUCCCAGAUCCACGUUUCCUCAGCCGCUACAGUUCCUUGCCUACCUUUCUAACCCUUUACGCCUCUUCAACAAGUUGUUUCUUCAACAAGUUGUUGAAGAAAUGGAGAAGCCAGAGACCCAGACUACGGCAUCCGGUGGCGGCGCUGAGCAAUUUAGGUUCGAAGUGGGUUUUGCCACAAUUUUAGAAGACAAAAUCCCCAUGGAUAUAAAGAUAUUGGAAGGGCAAUAAAUUAUGGUUCUUUGGGCUCUGGCAUCAUUGCUGAUCAUGCAACUUCAAGCAAUGAAAUUUGGUGGUUGAUUUCAGCUUUUUGGGGGAAGUUCUCAUGUGUAAAGUUAUUAUCACAUGAUGGCUGUCGGAGGAAAAGAUCAUGGGAUUGAAGGAAAUGCUCAAGGAAUGCAUACUGA